UAGGGAAUCUUCCGCAAUGGACGCAAGUCUGACGGAGCAACGCCGCGUGAGUGAAGAAGGAUUUCGGUUCGUAAAACUCUGUUGUUAGAGAAGAACAGCGCAUAGAGUAACUGUUAUGCGUGUGACGGUAUCUAACCAGAAAGCCACGGCUAACUACGUGCCAGCAGCCGCGGUAAUACGUAGGUGGCAAGCGUUGUCCGGAUUUAUUGGGCGUAAAGCGAGCGCAGGCGGUCAAUUAAGUCUGAUGUGAAAGCCCCCGGCUCAACCGGGGAGGGUCAUUGGAAACUGGUUGACUUGAGUGCAGAAGAGGAGAGUGGAAUUCCAUGUGUAGCGGUGAAAUGCGUAGAGAUAUGGAGGAACACCAGUGGCGAAGGCGACUUUCUGGUCUGUAACUGACGCUGAUGUGCGAAAGCGUGGGAAUCAAACAGG
This 429-nucleotide ribosomal RNA is filed under the name Bacteroidota bacterium. RNAcentral's name for it is "Bacteroidetes bacterium partial 16S ribosomal RNA". It matches the Rfam family "Bacterial small subunit ribosomal RNA", at positions 355 to 776 of the family's 1533-position model. Lineage: Bacteria; Pseudomonadati; Bacteroidota. The record is from RNAcentral.